Molecule: long non-coding RNA, 370 nt
Organism: Saccostrea cuccullata (small rock oyster)
Lineage: Eukaryota; Metazoa; Mollusca; Bivalvia; Ostreida; Ostreidae
Exons: 3
Source: RefSeq, a predicted model, not a curated record
AGAAUAUUAUUGAUAUUUAUUUUUUGCCAGUUAGCUGCUUCGAUUCUUGGACAAAGACGUUGUCCUCUCGGAGUUCCAAGGGUGUUAUGUAAAAUUAAUCCCUGUGAUGAGCGCCCCAACACACCCUCAGGCUGGUGUUCAAACAUAAGAGGAGCUGUCUGUCGUCCAUACCAGUGUGGAGGAUGUUAUAGAAGAUUCUACUUUUUUGGGAUGAACGUCACCCGAUUUUGUAUUCCAAGAGAACCACCUUUAUAAUAAGAAAGGGCUUAAACGCAUUUAUAUAAGAUUUUGUUAAUAAUAAUAAUGUUCAUGUAGAAAGUAAAUAAAACAUAAUUGCAUCGCAAUAAAAUUAAUGACAUUUUAAAACAGU